This 73-nucleotide transfer RNA is filed under the name Stegodyphus mimosarum. It matches the Rfam family "tRNA". Rfam says of the family: Transfer RNA (tRNA) molecules are approximately 80 nucleotides in length. Their secondary structure includes four short double-helical elements and three loops (D, anti-codon, and T loops). Lineage: Eukaryota; Metazoa; Arthropoda; Arachnida; Araneae; Eresidae. The record is from Rfam by way of RNAcentral.
GCCUUCCUGGUGUAGUGAUCAGCACACUCGGCUCGUAUUCGAGAGGUCCGUGGUUCGAGUCCCGGCGAGGGCA